UCGGGAACUCUUCUGAAAUAUCAAAUUCAGGUGUCCAUUGUUUGAGUAUCAUAGGCCUAUUGGCUAUUGAGUAAGGACCUGCACACAGCAUCUCUUUGGCAUCAGCAACUGCUUUGAAUUUCACAAUGUAAUAACCUUCGUCAUGAUAGAACAAGUCUGGUUCAGGGACAUGGGACCAAUGGUGAUUGAUGAAUCUCCUCAUUGCAUUGAAGCCAGGACCGUCUCCUAG
This 229-nucleotide long non-coding RNA is filed under the name Nicotiana benthamiana. Its description in RNAcentral is "long non-coding RNA (NBEN_LNC040751)". The record is from RNAcentral. Lineage: Eukaryota; Viridiplantae; Streptophyta; Magnoliopsida; Solanales; Solanaceae.